This 468-nucleotide ribosomal RNA is filed under the name uncultured bacterium. RNAcentral's name for it is "partial 16S ribosomal RNA". It matches the Rfam family "Bacterial small subunit ribosomal RNA", at positions 28 to 507 of the family's 1533-position model. The record is from RNAcentral.
GACGAACGCUGGCGGCGUGCUUAACACAUGCAAGUCGAACGGAAAGGCCCUGCUUUUGUGGGGUGCUCGAGUGGCGAACGGGGGAGUAACACGUGAGUAACCUGUCCUUGACUUCGGGAUAACUUCAGGAAACUGGGGCUAAUACCGGAUAUGAGCUCCUUCUACAUGGUGGGGGUUGGAAAGUUUCGGCGUUUGGGGAUGGACGCGUGGUGUAUCAUCGUGUUGGUGGGGUAGUGGCGUACCAAGGCAUUGAGGGGUAGCCGGCCUGAGAGGGUGACCGGGCACAUUGGGACUGAGAUACGGCCAAGACUCUUACGGGAGGCAGCAGUGGGGAAUAGUGCACAAUGGGCGGAAGCCUGAUGCAGCAACGCCGCGUGCGGGAUGACGGCCUUCGGGUUGUAAACCGCUUUCGCCUGUGACGAAGAGUGAGUGACGGUAAUGGGUAAAGAAGCACCGGCUAACUACGUG